RNAcentral lists this ribosomal RNA (467 nucleotides) under uncultured bacterium. Its description in RNAcentral is "partial 16S ribosomal RNA". It matches the Rfam family "Bacterial small subunit ribosomal RNA", at positions 28 to 506 of the family's 1533-position model. The record is from RNAcentral.
GACGAACGCUGGCGGCGUGCUUAACACAUGCAAGUCGAACGGAAAGGCCCUGCUUUUGCUGGGUGCUCGAGUGGCGAACGGGUGAGUAAAACGUGAGUAACCUGCACUUGUCUUUGGGAUAACUUCAGGAAACUGGGGCUCAUACCGGAUAGGAGAUCUUGCUGCAUGGUGGGGGUUGGUAAGUUUCGGCGGUUGGGGAUGGACUCGCGGCUUAUCAGCUUGUUGGUGGGGUAGUGGCUUACCAAGGAUUUGACGGGUAGCCGGCCUGGAAGGGUGACAGGCCACAGUGGGACUGAGGUACGGCCCAUACGCCUACGGGAGGCAGGAGUGGGGAAUAUAGCACAAUGGGCGGAGGCAUGAUGCAGCAACGCCGCGUGGGGGAUGACGGCCUUCGGGUUGUAAACCGCUUUCGCCUGUGACGAAGCGUGAGUGACGGUAAUGGGGAAAGAAGCACCGGCUACCUACGU